UGGAAGGGCCAUCGCUCAACGGAUAAAAGGUACUCCGGGGAUAACAGGCUGAUACCGCCCAAGAGUUCAUAUCGACGGCGGUGUUUGGCACCUCGAUGUCGGCUCAUCACAUCCUGGGGCUGAAGUAGGUCCCAAGGGUAUGGCUGUUCGCCAUUUAAAGUGGUACGCGAGCUGGGUUUAGAACGUCGUGAGACAGUUCGGUCCCUAUCUGCCGUGGGCGCUGGAGAACUGAGGGGGGCUGCUCCUAGUACGAGAGGACCGGAGUGGACGCAUCACUGGUGUUCGGGUUGUCAUGCCAAUGGCACUGCCCGGUAGCUAAAU
Molecule: ribosomal RNA, 321 nt
Filed under: Salmonella enterica subsp. enterica serovar Ago
Lineage: Bacteria; Pseudomonadati; Pseudomonadota; Gammaproteobacteria; Enterobacterales; Enterobacteriaceae
Description: partial 23S ribosomal RNA
Rfam family: Bacterial large subunit ribosomal RNA
Source: RNAcentral